GCUGGCAGCUAGCUCUCUGAAACUCCCACAUGGUCACCCACUGAAGCUAAGCAGGGCUACACCUGGUCAGUAUCUGGAUGGGGCACCACAUGGGAAACCUAGCUUGCUGCCGAAA
RNAcentral lists this ribosomal RNA (115 nucleotides) under Danio rerio (zebrafish). The record is from RNAcentral. Lineage: Eukaryota; Metazoa; Chordata; Actinopteri; Cypriniformes; Danionidae.